Molecule: long non-coding RNA, 229 nt
Organism: Xenopus laevis (African clawed frog)
Lineage: Eukaryota; Metazoa; Chordata; Amphibia; Anura; Pipidae
Exons: 2
Source: RefSeq, a predicted model, not a curated record
UGGCGCUGUUGUAACAAACUUCAUUCAUAUUAACAGAACGUUAAAGGAACAAUACUCUGCAAAACCCCCAAGGCAGAUGGUGCGAUGCUCUGCAUAUCUUUACCUGGCUCUGUCUGCACACUCCCUUGCCCCCUCCUAUCACUGCGCUGCAGUUUAGAGAGUAACUCAAACACCUCACGUAUGCUCUGUCGGGAAAUGACAGCAAAUAUAUAUUUCUAUAUAUUUCUAA